UUUGGUUAAGUUAAUAAGGGCGCACGGUGGAUGCCUUGGCACUAGGAGUCGAUGAAGGACGGCACUAACACCGAUAUGCCUCGGGGAGCUGUAAGUAAGCUUUGAUCCGGGGAUUUCCGAAUGGGGGAACCCACUAUCUUUAAUCGGAUAGUAUCUACACGUGAAUUCAUAGCGUGAUGAGGACAGACGCAGAGAACUGAAACAUCUAAGUACCUGCAGGAACAGAAAGAAAAUUCGAUUCCCUGAGUAGCGGCGAGCGAAACGGGAAGAGCCCAAACCAAAGAGCUUGCUCUUUGGGGUUGUAGGACAUUCUAUACGGAGUUACAAAAGAAUGAGCUAGACGAAGCGACUUGGAAAGGUCCGCGAAACAAGGUAAAAGCCCUGUAGUCAAAAGUUCAUUCCCUCCAGAGUGUAUCCUGAGUACGGCGGAACACGUGAAAUUCCGUCGGAAUCUGGGAGGACCAUCUCCCAAGGCUAAAUACUACCUAGUGACCGAUAGUGAACCAGUACCGUGAGGGAAAGGUGAAAAGCACCCCGGAAGGGGAGUGAAAUAGAUCCUGAAACCGUGUGCCUACAAGUAGUUAGAGCCCGUUAAUGGGUGAUAGCGUGCCUUUUGUAGAAUGAACCGGCGAGUUACGAUUACGUGCGAGGUUAAGUUGAGAAGACGGAGCCGCAGCGAAAGCGAGUCUGAAUAGGGCGAAUUAGUACGUGGUCGUAGACCCGAAACCAGGUGAUCUACCCAUGUCCAGGGUGAAGGUGAGGUAACACUUACUGGAGGCCCGAACCCACGCAUGUUGAAAAAUGCGGGGAUGAGGUGUGGGUAGCGGAGAAAUUCCAAUCGAACCUGGAGAUAGCUGGUUCUCUCCGAAAUAGCUUUAGGGCUAGCCUCGUGAUUGAGAAUACUGGAGGUAGAGCACUGUUUGGACUAGGGGCCCAUCUCGGGUUACCGAAUUCAGACAAACUCCGAAUGCCAGAUAUUUAUACACGGGAGUCAGACUGCGAGUGAUAAGAUCCGUAGUCAAAAGGGAAACAGCCCAGACCACCAGCUAAGGUCCCAAAGUAAUCGUUAAGUGGAAAAGGAUGUGGCGUUGCUUAGACAACCAGGAUGUUGGCUUAGAAGCAGCCAUCAUUUAAAGAGUGCGUAAUAGCUCACUGGUCGAGUGACACUGCGCCGAAAAUGUAUCGGGGCUAAACGAUUCACCGAAGCUGUGGAUGCAUCCGUAUGGAUGCGUGGUAGGAGAGCGUUCUAAGGGCGUUGAAGUCAGACCGGAAGGACUGGUGGAGCGCUUAGAAGUGAGAAUGCCGGUAUGAGUAGCGAAACAUGGGUGAGAAUCCCAUGCACCGUAUGACUAAGGUUUCCUGAGGAAGGCUCGUCCGCUCAGGGUUAGUCGGGACCUAAGCCGAGGCCGAUAGGCGUAGGCGAUGGACAACAGGUUGAUAUUCCUGUACCACCUCCUCACCGUUUGAGAAAUGGGGGGACGCAGUAGGAUAGGGUAAGCAGAGCGUUGGUUGUCUCUGUUCAAGCAGUAAGGCGUGUAUGUAGGCAAAUCCGCAUACU
This 1558-nucleotide ribosomal RNA is filed under the name Lysinibacillus sp. S2017. Its description in RNAcentral is "partial 23S ribosomal RNA". It matches the Rfam family "Bacterial large subunit ribosomal RNA", at positions 1 to 1550 of the family's 2925-position model. The record is from RNAcentral. Lineage: Bacteria; Bacillati; Bacillota; Bacilli; Caryophanales; Bacillaceae.